GACGAACGCUGGCGGCGUGCUUAACACAUGCCAGUCGAACGGAAAGGCCCCUUUGGGGGUCCUCGAGUGGCGAACGGGUGAGUAACACGUGAGUAACCUGCCCUUGACUUCGGGAUAACUUCAGGAAACUGGGGCUAAUACCGGAUAGGAAUCCUUGCUGCAUGGUGGGGGUUGGAAAGCUUCGGCGGUUUUGGAUGGACUCGCGGCUUAUCAGCUUGUUGGUGGGGUAGUGGCUUACCAAGGCUUUGACGGGUAGCCGGCCUGAGAGGGCGACCGGCCACAUUGGGACUGAGAGACGGCCCAGACUCCUACGGGAGGCAGCAGUGGGGAAUAUUGCACAAUGGGCGGAAGCCUGAUGCAGCAACGCAGCGUGCGGGAUGACGGCCUUCGGGUUGUAAACCGCUUUCAGCAGGGGCGAAGCUUGUGGUGACGGUACCUGCAGAAGAAGCACCGGCUAACUACGUG
Molecule: ribosomal RNA, 465 nt
Filed under: uncultured bacterium
Lineage: Bacteria
Description: partial 16S ribosomal RNA
Rfam family: Bacterial small subunit ribosomal RNA
Source: RNAcentral